AGGAUUAACGCUGGCGGCGUGCCUGACACAUGCAAGUCGAACGAGGCCGCAAGGCCGAGUGGCGGACGGGUGAGUAACACGUGACCAACCAACCUCGAAGUUGGGAAUAGCUCUGCGAAAGUAGGGGUAAUACCGAAUGUGGCCCAGGGCGGGCAUCCGCCUUGGUCUAAAGAUUCAUCGCUUCGAGACGGGGUCGCGGCCUAUUAGCUUGUUGGUGAGGUAACGGCUCACCAAGGCGAUGAUGGGUAGCUGGUCUGAGAGGACGACCAGCCACACUGGGACUGAGACACGGCCCAGACUCCUACGGGAGGCAGCAGUGAGGAAUCUUCAGCAAUGGGCGAAAGCCUGACGCAGCGACGCCGCGUGGGGGAUGAAGGCCUUCGGGUUGUAAACCCUUUCAGCAGGGACGAAGCGAAAGUGACGGUACCUGCAGAAGAAGCGCCGGCUAACUACGUGCCAGCAGCCGCGGUAA
RNAcentral lists this ribosomal RNA (472 nucleotides) under uncultured bacterium. RNAcentral's name for it is "SSU rRNA". It matches the Rfam family "Bacterial small subunit ribosomal RNA", at positions 26 to 523 of the family's 1533-position model. The record is from RNAcentral.